This 459-nucleotide ribosomal RNA is filed under the name uncultured bacterium. Its description in RNAcentral is "partial 16S ribosomal RNA". It matches the Rfam family "Bacterial small subunit ribosomal RNA", at positions 338 to 795 of the family's 1533-position model. The record is from RNAcentral.
CCUACGGGAGACAGCAGUGAGGAAUAUUGGUCAAUGGCCGAGAGGCUGAACCAGCCAAGUCGCGUGAGGGAAGAAUGUUCUAUGGAUUGUAAACCUCUUUUGUCAGGGAGCAAAGUCACCCACGCGUGGGUGUUGGAGAGUAUCUGACGAAAAAGCAUCGGCUAACUCCGUGCCAGCAGCCGCGGUAAUACGGAGGAUGCGAGCGUUAUCCGGAUUUAUUGGGUUAAAAGGGUGCGUAGGCGGAUUAUAAAGUCAGCGGUAAAAUUGGGGGGCUCAACCCCAUCCAGCCGUUGAAACUGAUGAUCUUGAGUGGAAGAGAAGUAUGCGGAAUGCGUGGUGUAGCGGUGAAAUGCAUAGAUAUCACGCAGAACUCCGAUUGCGAAGGCAGCAUACCGGCGUCCGACUGACGCUGAAGCACGAAAGCGUGGGUAUCGAACAGGAUUAGAUACCCGAGUAGUC